UGGGGAAUUUUGGACAAUGGGCGAAAGCCUGAUCCAGCAAUGCCGCGUGUGUGAAGAAGGCCUUCGGGUUGUAAAGCACUUUUGUCCGGAAAGAAAUCCUUGGCUCUAAUACAGUCGGGGGAUGACGGUACCGGAAGAAUAAGCACCGGCUAACUACGUGCCAGCAGCCGCGAUAAUACGUAGGGUGCAAGCGUUAAUCGGAAUUACUGGGCGUAAAGCGUGCGCAGGCGGUUUGCUAAGACCGAUGUGAAAUCCCCGGGCUCAACCUGGGAACUGCAUUGGUGACUGGCAGGCUAGAGUAUGGCAGAGGGGGGUAGAAUUCCACGUGUAGCAGUGAAAUGCGUAGAGAUGUGGAGGAAUACCGAUGGCGAAGGCAGCCCCCUGGGCCAAUACUGACGCUCAUGCACGAAAGCGUGGGGAGCAAACAGGAUUAGAUACCCUGGUAGUCCACGCCCUAAACGAUGUCAACUAGUUGUUGGGGAUUCAUUUCCUUAGUAACGUAGCUAACGCGUGAAGUUGACCGCCUGGGGAGUACGGUCGCAAGAUUAAAACUCAAAUGAAUUGACGGGGUCAUAGCUGUUUCCU
This 585-nucleotide ribosomal RNA is filed under the name uncultured bacterium. Its description in RNAcentral is "partial 16S ribosomal RNA". It matches the Rfam family "Bacterial small subunit ribosomal RNA", at positions 355 to 1375 of the family's 1533-position model. The record is from RNAcentral.